This 633-nucleotide ribosomal RNA is filed under the name uncultured bacterium. RNAcentral describes it as "bacterial SSU rRNA". The stretch from base 1 to 540 matches the Rfam family "Bacterial small subunit ribosomal RNA", at positions 338 to 873 of the family's 1533-position model. The record is from RNAcentral.
CCUACGGGAGGCAGCAGUGGGGAAUUUUGGACAAUGGGCGCAAGCCUGAUCCAGCAAUGCCGCGUGAGUGAAGAAGGCCUUCGGGUUGUAAAGCUCUUUUGUCAGGGAAGAAACGGUGGUUCCUAAUACGGACUACUAAUGACGGUACCUGAAGAAUAAGCACCGGCUAACUACGUGCCAGCAGCCGCGGUAAUACGUAGGGUGCAAGCGUUAAUCGGAAUUACUGGGCGUAAAGCGUGCGCAGGCGGUUAUAUAAGUCAGAUGUGAAAUCCCCGGGCUCAACCUGGGAACUGCAUUUGAGACUGUAUGGCUAGAGUGUGUCAGAGGGGGGUAGAAUUCCACGUGUAGCAGUGAAAUGCGUAGAUAUGUGGAGGAAUACCGAUGGCGAAGGCAGCCCCCUGGGAUAACACUGACGCUCAUGCACGAAAGCGUGGGGAGCAAACAGGAUUAGAUACCCUGGUAGUCCACGCCCUAAACGAUGUCUACUAGUUGUCGGGACUUAAUUGUCUUGGUAACGCAGCUACGCGUGAGUAGACCGCCGUCGGGAGGUACGGUCGCGAGAAGUUAAAACGUUAAAAGGUAAAGUUAGUACGGCGUGAGACGUAGACCGACGGACGACGACGAGGGAGGAGG